AGUGUUGUCGUCAGCUCGUGCCGUGAGGUGUCGGUUAAGUCCCAUAACGAGCGCACCCUUAUCGUUAGUUGCCAUCUGGUAAAGCUAGGGGACUCUAGCGAAACUGCCACCGUAAGGUGAGAGGAAGGUGGGAUGACGUCAAAUCAGCACGGCCCUUAUGUCCAGGGCUACACACGUGUUACAAUGGCCGGUACAGAGGGCAGCUACCUGGUGACAGGAUGCUAAUCUCGAAAACCGGUCUCAGUUCGGAUCGAAGUCUGCAACUCGACUUCGUGAAGCUGGAUUCGCUAGUAAUCGCGCAUCAGCCAUGGCGCGGUGAAUACGUUCCCGGGCCUU
Molecule: ribosomal RNA, 336 nt
Filed under: uncultured Sphingobacteriales bacterium
Lineage: Bacteria; Pseudomonadati; Bacteroidota; Sphingobacteriia; Sphingobacteriales
Description: bacterial SSU rRNA
Rfam family: Bacterial small subunit ribosomal RNA
Source: RNAcentral